RNAcentral lists this transfer RNA (71 nucleotides) under Loxodonta africana (African savanna elephant). It matches the Rfam family "tRNA". From Rfam's summary of the family: Transfer RNA (tRNA) molecules are approximately 80 nucleotides in length. Their secondary structure includes four short double-helical elements and three loops (D, anti-codon, and T loops). Further hydrogen bonds mediate the characteristic L-shaped molecular structure. tRNAs have two regions of fundamental functional importance: the anti-codon, which is responsible for specific mRNA codon recognition, and the 3' end, to which the tRNAs corresponding amino acid is attached (by aminoacyl-tRNA synthetases). tRNAs cope with the degeneracy of the genetic code in two manners: having more than one tRNA (with a specific anti-codon) for a particular amino acid; and 'wobble' base-pairing, i.e. permitting non-standard base-pairing at the 3rd anti-codon position. Lineage: Eukaryota; Metazoa; Chordata; Mammalia; Proboscidea; Elephantidae. The record is from Rfam by way of RNAcentral.
GCAUUGGUGGUUCAGUGGUAGAAUUAUUGCCUUCCACGUGGGAGACCCAGGUUCAAUUCCCAGCCUAUGUA